Small nucleolar RNA from Ochotona princeps (American pika), 140 nucleotides. Its record names the gene SNORA74. It matches the Rfam family "Small nucleolar RNA SNORA74". Rfam says of the family: U19 belongs to the H/ACA class of snoRNAs. snoRNAs bind a number of proteins (including dyskerin, Gar1p and Nop10p in the case of the H/ACA class) to form snoRNP complexes. This class are thought to guide the sites of modification of uridines to pseudouridines by forming direct base pairing interactions with substrate RNAs. Targets may include ribosomal and spliceosomal RNAs but the exact functions of many snoRNAs, including U19, are not confirmed. The record is from Ensembl. NCBI's taxonomy places the organism in Eukaryota, Metazoa, Chordata, Mammalia, Lagomorpha, Ochotonidae.
CCCAGCUGUAGGCAACUACCUAGGUUGCACUGUACCUAGGCAAGUUUUACAUUGCUGGAAGAAUAGCAGCUAAUAGCUGGCAGGCAUUCUGGGCCAGGUUAAUGCCAAAUUUGUGUUAAUUAUACCAGUGUGCCAACAAA